CCUCUUCUUCGCCACAUUCGUCGUAAGGCGGAGCCGGAAAGCCACGGGUCUUGGAAUGAUGAGACAGCCGAGCUGCCAUU
RNAcentral lists this non-coding RNA (80 nucleotides) under Methylomonas lenta. RNAcentral describes it as "c-di-GMP sequence". It matches the Rfam family "c-di-GMP-I riboswitch aptamer". From Rfam's summary of the family: GEMM was predicted in a large-scale screen for bacterial structured RNA regulatory elements. Lineage: Bacteria; Pseudomonadati; Pseudomonadota; Gammaproteobacteria; Methylococcales; Methylococcaceae. The record is from Rfam by way of RNAcentral.